RNAcentral lists this ribosomal RNA (508 nucleotides) under uncultured bacterium. Its description in RNAcentral is "partial 16S ribosomal RNA". It matches the Rfam family "Bacterial small subunit ribosomal RNA", at positions 28 to 523 of the family's 1533-position model. The record is from RNAcentral.
GAUGAACGCUAGCUACAGGCUUAACACAUGCAAGUCGAGGGGAAACGAUAGGGAAAGCUUGCUUUUUCUAGGCGUCGACCGGCGCACGGGUGAGUAACGCGUAUCCAACCUGCCCAUCACUUGGGGAUAACCUUGCGAAAGUAAGACCAAUACCCAAUGACGUCUCUAGAAGACAUCUGAAGGAGAUUAAAGAUUUAUCGGUGAUGGAUGGGGAUGCGUCUGAUUAGCUUGUUGGCGGGGUAACGGCCCACCAAGGCGACGAUCAGUAGGGGUUCUGAGAGGAAGGUCCCCCACAUUGGAACUGAGACACGGUCCAAACUCCUACGGGAGGCAGCAGUGAGGAAUAUUGGUCAAUGGACGAGAGUCUGAACCAGCCAAGUAGCGUGCAGGAAGACGGCCCUAUGGGUUGUAAACUGCUUUUAUAAGGGAAUAAAGUGAGUCUCGUGAGACUUUUUGCAUGUACCUUAUGAAUAAGGACCGGCUAACUCCGUGCCAGCCGCCGCCGUAA